RNAcentral lists this ribosomal RNA (609 nucleotides) under Eutropis macularia (bronze grass skink). RNAcentral describes it as "partial 16S ribosomal RNA". Lineage: Eukaryota; Metazoa; Chordata; Lepidosauria; Squamata; Scincidae. The record is from RNAcentral.
GAUAGAGUAAACCCGUCUCUGUGGCAAAAGAGUGGGAAGACCAUGCAGUAGAGGUGAAAAGCCAAACGAACCUAGUGAUAGCUGGUUGCUCAAUAAAAGAAUCUAAGUUCAACUUUAGGCUAUACAAGACCAAAUAUUAUCCACAAACAGCCUAAAAGAUAUUCAAUGAGGGUACAGCUUCAUUGAAACAGGAUACAACCUUUGCUAGAGAGAAAGACCACUAAACACACCAUCCAGUGGGCUCUAAAGCAGCCACCAACAACCCAAGGCGUCACAGCAUCAAAACAAUAAAUACCACCAACACCCCCAAUCUCCUACAUUAACACCGAGCCACCCUAUAAAUAUAGGCAAACUAAUGCUAAAACUAGUAACAAGAAACUUUCUCUUACAGCACAUCCUUGACCCAGAAAUAGAAAACCUGCUGGACAUUAACCAGACCAAAACAGGAAUUACACCACAAACUUGUUCUAAGAAACUGUCAAUCCAACACCGGAGUGCUAUAAAGACAGAUUAAAAGUUAUAUAAGGAACUCAGCAAAACUUGUCCCAACUGUUUACCAAAAACAUAGCCUUUAGCUAAACAAGUAUUAAAGGUCUCGCCUGCCCAGUG